Molecule: ribosomal RNA, 488 nt
Filed under: uncultured bacterium
Lineage: Bacteria
Description: bacterial SSU rRNA
Rfam family: Bacterial small subunit ribosomal RNA
Source: RNAcentral
GGAACAGCUGCUAAUACCGGAUACGAACUCAGCAGGCAUCUGCCGAGUUGGAAAGCUCCGACGGUCAAGGAUGGGGCUCGCGGCCUAUCAGCUCGUUGGUGAGGUAACGGCUCACCAAGGCGACGACGGGUAGCCGGCCUGAGAGGGCGACCGGCCACACUGGGACUGAGAUACGGCCCAGACUCCUACGGGAGGCAGCAGUGGGGAAUAUUGCGCAAUGGGCGAAAGCCUGACGCAGCAACGCCGCGUGCGGGAUGACGGCCUUCGGGUUGUAAACCGCUUUCAGCAGGGACGAAACUGACGGUACCUGCAGAAGAAGCACCGGCUAACUACGUGCCAGCAGCCGCGGUGAUACGUAGGGUGCGAGCGUUGUCCGGAAUUAUUGGGCGUAAAGAGCUCGUAGGCGGUCUGUCACGUCGGAAGUGAAAACUCGGGGCUCAACCCCGAGCCUGCUUUCGAUACGGGCAGACUUGAGGAAUGUAGGGGAG